GAUGAACGCUGGCGGCGUGCCUAAUACAUGCAAGUCGAGCGAACGGAUGAGAAGCUUGCUUCUCUGAUGUUAGCGGCGGACGGGUGAGUAACACGUGGAUAACCUACCUAUAAGACUGGGAUAACUUCGGGAAACCGGAGCUAAUACCGGAUAAUAUUUUGAACCGCAUGGUUCAAAAGUGAAAGACGGUCUUGCUGUCACUUAUAGAUGGAUCCGCGCUGCAUUAGCUAGUUGGUAAGGUAACGGCUUACCAAGGCAACGAUGCAUAGCCGACCUGAGAGGGUGAUCGGCCACACUGGAACUGAGACACGGUCCAGACUCCUACGGGAGGCAGCAGUAGGGAAUCUUCCGCAAUGGGCGAAAGCCUGACGGAGCAACGCCGCGUGAGUGAUGAAGGUCUUCGGAUCGUAAAACUCUGUUAUUAGGGAAGAACAUAUGUGUAAGUAACUGUGCACAUCUUGACGGUACCUAAACAGAAAGCCACGGCUAACUACGUG
Molecule: ribosomal RNA, 497 nt
Filed under: uncultured bacterium
Lineage: Bacteria
Description: partial 16S ribosomal RNA
Rfam family: Bacterial small subunit ribosomal RNA
Source: RNAcentral